This 1128-nucleotide long non-coding RNA is filed under the name Manduca sexta (tobacco hornworm). RNAcentral's name for it is "uncharacterized LOC119193596". The record is from RNAcentral. Lineage: Eukaryota; Metazoa; Arthropoda; Insecta; Lepidoptera; Sphingidae.
AGGAUCUAAUAUUCCUAUCCUUUUCAGACAUCGUGAUCCCGUCGCUGCUGAUAGCGGCGCUGUUCAUCGGAAACGCGUUCAUCGUUCUCAUCAUAUACAAAUACCGGAAACGAAAAACCGAAGACCUGGAGGACGAGUUCAACACCAUUCCACUCAGCGUCAACGGCAAUGUGCAUAGUGCGGGCAACGCGGUUUAGUUAGGAGAAAGUUACACACCGACUGGCGGCGUGGACAGCUGUCGAGCGUCUGUUUAAACGCUGGGGAAAACGCUGCGUUUUUUUACACGGAACUAAUUAAUAUGCUUCUGUUGAAGGUUUUAUCGGUUUUCGAAAUAUCUGGAGCUCGAACAACUAAAAAAUCCGUCUCCUUUUAAUAAUUGCGUUUAUGCGGCCAUUUAACAAUGUUAGGAAAUGCAGCGUUUUCCGUAAAAGACAUUUAUUCGUAAUUAUGCUCUCUUAUAAACUAAAUCCCCAGUACAGUGGCGUCUGGUAAAGGAAUGGGAGAUAUUUAUUUCUUCGACGAAUGUUGUCACGUAUGCUGUAUAAACGCAUUUAGUGUUAGUUUUACACCUAUAAAUAUAUUCUGCAUGUUUUGUGUCCAAAAUAGAUAUGUAUUAGACGUGUAGAAGCCCCAUUCCUCAAAUAAAACUGUCCGUGUCCAUAAUUUUUCAUCUUGGAAACGCUUAGCGUUACUAAUAUCCAAUAAAAUCGGUGUGUAAAAAUGUUUAUUAUCGGGCGCGGGUUUUCGACCGCGCGGCCGAGCGUGUCGUCGUCAGCUAACCGCCGCCUUAGGCCUUAAGUUACCUUAUUUAUUUGUUAAUUUACUAGAGCGUGGGUCAUCAAAUGAUGUAAGCAGUAAGACGUAGUCAAUCCUCUCAUGUCUUUCUUAAAGUAUUAGAUAUUAAGUAAGGACUGAUAUUGAUAUGAAGGUACUCGAAAUUUUCUAGAUUUUUCCAUUUUUGUUGCAGUCACCGCGAACACUAGUGCGUCAAUUAAGAGCUUUUGAUAGGAAACGGAUGUAGAAUGUACUCGUGUUUACUUGAAACUAAUUUCUCGACAUUGUUAAUGUUUUUGUAUGUAUUGGCAAAAUCUGUAUAAAUUCUGUAAUGAAUAAAAACCACUAUCUUUA